This is a long non-coding RNA of Humulus lupulus (European hop), 709 nucleotides long. RefSeq lists it as uncharacterized. The transcript is spliced from 2 exons. The record is from RefSeq and is a predicted model, not a curated record. NCBI's taxonomy places the organism in Eukaryota, Viridiplantae, Streptophyta, Magnoliopsida, Rosales, Cannabaceae.
UGCAUGGUAAAAUGGGGUUUUGGAGCGGGGCGGGGCGGGGCGGGACCCCGAAACAAAUACUGUAUUUCAGUGUAAUCAGGGUAUACCGUAUACUCAGAGCCAAAAUGUUCUUUCUCAGGCCAUCCCCAAACGAAAACCCUUAUUCUCCUGAUUCCCCAAGCGAAACGAAGACGAAGAAGAAGAGGUUGCAGAAGGCUAUUUUCGUCAAAUGCUUCGGUUUCUUCCCUGGGCGGGGAGUAAAGCUUGAGGGGUUUCUAUGAAAUCGAAGCUUGAGGGGUUUUGCGGAAGGGUGGUUUUCGUCAAAUGCAAAUGGGGUCCGCUUCUAUCAGCUCACAAGAAGCUUGUUGCAGAAAAACUCGCUGAAGAAGACGCUGAGAGGAAGGUGAAGAAGGAAGUCAGGAAGGAAAACACUUGGUAAUUCAAAUGACCUUUGUCUAUAAAAUAUGAGUAUAUGAAUAAGAUUAUUAUUAAGAGAGAGAGCUAAGUAAUUAAGAUGGGUUCGAUAUAUGGGGUUUGUGUGGUACUAUUUGUCAUAUUUAUAUGUAUAUAGCUAGAUCUUGUCCAAGUUGAGAUAUUCGAUACUUGUGGAAUCUGUAUGUAAAAUUGAUGGUAUAUGAAUAUCAAUGUUCCUAAGGUAUAUAUAUUGACAUGUGUCACAUUCAACCAUGUUCUUAAUCUAUAAUAUUCAAGAUCAAUUUCUCUUUUCUGA